AAGUAUAAUGGACAAAUAUUUUGCAAUUCAUCUGUUGCCAUACAGUUUCUAUAAAAACACUUUUUUUUUUUUUUUUAGUUUGCUUUAUUUUGUAAUGAUGUUAUAUGGCCAAUAAACAAAUAAAAAUGCUUAUGUUUGUAUGUAACUUGGUAGUAUAAGAGAAAAUUGUUAAAGUAGGCAACAAUGAACCCUUUUGGCCAGGGUGAUACCCCCAAUUGUGGAUAAUAGAGAAUAGUUCAUUUUAUGUUAACAAUGCAUUCUCGGGGACCUACAUGCCAAAAUUUUCUCUUAUUUUUAAAGAGGAAUCAGAGAAUUUGUACUUAACACUUCAUCCCAUUGACUGUGAAGGAUUUCCUCAGGAAUGAUUAGUGGUUCUGCACCAAUUUUCAUGGCCAAUGGGAUAGUAUGCAAUAAACGAUUGGCAGGAAUCUGGUAUGUAUUUAAAAAGUCAAGAGCAAGCUCUGCCAGGAGAAUUUUCUGAAACUGAAACUCAUAAAUUUUUGAGUAAUAUGGUUGAAUAAUAAUAUUUAUACUCUAGUCAAGGAAUUUUAUCUGAUAUGUCUUUAUUUUCAGAAAUAAAAGAUGAAUAAAAACUUUGUAAAAUAAUUAUUAUGUAUUCUGAAUAAAGUCUGGGAAAAAAAA
This 642-nucleotide long non-coding RNA is filed under the name Stegodyphus dumicola. RNAcentral's name for it is "uncharacterized LOC118201249, transcript variant X1". Lineage: Eukaryota; Metazoa; Arthropoda; Arachnida; Araneae; Eresidae. The record is from RNAcentral.